UAUAUAUUUGUUAUAUAUAUAUUCUCUCUUAUGGAAUAUAUGACAAAAUGUCACCCUACAUACUACAUACUACAUACUAAAUCACACUGGCAGACACAACAUUCAAGUUUGAAUAUUAAUAAUGUGUAACAGACUAACUAUUCAUGGCAAAAAAAAAAUGGAUUUAAGAUUUCAGCUUAAUAAUGAGACUUUGUUACAAUGAUUUCUAAGUCUCAGAAAAAUCUAUAAAAUGUAUUUGUAAUAAUAAAAAACAAGUAAUUUUUUAUAUGAUUUGCAUUUGUGAUGUAUCUUUGAAUUACUUAAAUCCAUCAUCAUCUGACAAGAAACAGGACACUAAAUGCAAACACAAAUGCUAAACUAUACUGCAAAAAUCUCUGCUCCAUUGCUCCAAAUGUGCCAUACCAGAGAACUAAAGAUAAAAAUAAAAUCAGCUCCUCCCCCUAUUUCCCCCUCUCCCACACUAAAAGAAUAAGGGAUCUCGUCUGAGCAAUGUGCUCACCGUUAGUUUCCCAGGAGACUGUGUGUGGCCUCUUGGGCAGUCCUCCCACACCUCCGGACUGGGCCCAGCUGCAGAGUUAAUAAAAUCAUCAGUCAGCCAUUCAGCCUCACUCCUCACAUUCUCUCUGGCCAAUUAGUCGCACACCUUAUGUGACUCGACUGCCUUCACAACAUGUUUCACGCUCUCAUCAAUUUUAUACAGACUCAUUACAGACUCAAAAUUGAGGAUGAGGUGCUCCAAGUCACAUUAUUCAAGAGAUUCUCUCUUAAAAAAAAACAAAACAAAAAAAAAACUUUUUGGAAUAUUUUCAGUUGAAUGCUUUUGGGAUCAGUUUGUAUUCUGACAGCUGACCUAAUUAUUGUGUCCAGAUAUGCUGCUCUGGUCUCCCAGGUUCAUUUUAUGGACUAGCACUGCAUGAUUGCAUCAUGAUUGAUUUUUGCCUAGCUCUCACUUCAGAUCACAUCUCAUAUGACCAUGUACUUGAAAUAAAUAAGAACUGCUGUAAAACGUGUGGUGAGGGACAAGCUCAUAAGUCAAGGUUUAUGUCCACUGGUAUUUACAUUCUUUCCAUGAGCAUCCGGCUCUCUGGCUGUGUGUCCUGCUUUGGCGGAUGCAUGACAUCAUAGUGGCACCAUUGCUGAUAAGAUUAAGGAGGGAUUUAAGUUGAGGUAAACAGAAUGAAAAGAAGGGAAAAAAGACCUACUGCAUCUCUUGAAUCACAUGCACAAAUAUAUGGACCAUUUUAGUGCCAUUUUAUUACCAAGGCCUGUUCAAGAUGAUUACUGUAACAAUAACUAUAACAUUUUAAUAAUAAUUCUUUUUCAAUGAAAAUAGAGACACUACAAUUAUAACAGUACAGUAUUGUUGGAGUCAUUUUCAGAAGUUUUUUUUUUUUUUUUUUAGCUUAUGAAUGAUAAAAAACAAUAUUUGGAAGCCAAUAAGUAUCUACCUGAGUUUAAAUAAUUCCAGCAUUAAACUUAAGCAUGUGCUUAUAAUAAACAGGAAAUUAUCGACUGCUGGUGUGGAAGUUAACAUAGGCCUAUUUAUUAUUAUAAUGACCUUUAUCGUUAUUCGACUUGAUAAAAAAAACACACACACACGCACAAAAAAAGAGGCUUUAUCCUUAAAGAAUCUUAAUUUCUGUGAUUAAAAAAAAGAAAGGAAUGGUGUUUCAUUCACAAGCUCAUAUUUAGGCAAACCCUUGAAUGUUUUAGGCUCAGUCCUGCAGAACAGCACUGGAGACCUCUUGUGGAAUAUGUUUGCCAUCACACCUAUGAAACUCUCGCGGAAUCCCUUGGAUUUCGUUCUUGACAAAUGCAGAAGUGAUGCAAUUACAUUUAAAUUGUUUUCUGGAGGCAACAAUUCAGUCAACGUGAUUGAGAAACCAAAACAAACAUUCCAUUAUGUUUCCUACAUUGCUUCUAACGGCAGAGGAGAGAAGUUGUAAAACUGCAAACCAAAUUCAAUGUACUGCAUCCAUUACCAUAAUUUGCAAUAUUAUAAUAAGUUCAUUUUUUCACUCAAAGUUAACUGUGUCGUUUUUGAAGAAAGUCAAACAAAUGUUUUUAAAUAAAUAAUGUGAGUGGCAACAUUAUUUUGUAAUCAGUCAAAGAAGUGAACUACAGACAUAACGAGGAAAUGGGAAACACGAAAAUAAGAGUCUCAAUUAUACAAGGCUAAAUUGUAUGCAAUUAUGCUGAAUGUUUGCGUUAAUAAUGGUACUGUAAUUUCUGUAUUUAAAUGGAACUGAUCACCACUAAAUGAGUCAAUAAAUCAAUCAAUCCAUCAAAAACGUCAAUAUUUAACUUCCUCUAUAUCAUACAACUUUUCUGGUGAGUGAAGCAACACGUAAAAUACACAUAAAAUAGUAGUUUUUGAAUGGUUUUAAGUGUAAGUGCAGUUGUUAUUCAUGUGCAGAAGUGUUCACAGCAUACUUUUGAAUGACCUUUAUGUCUGUUUUGGUUGAUGUUGAAUCACUGGGCUAGCUGAGAAGAUGACAAGUUCUGUCUCUGCUAGGUUGAGUUGAAGGUGAUGUUCUUUCACUCAGGCUGCGAGACGUCUGCCAGGUAAGGAUAGAUCCAUGCACUGCGGGGUGUCGAGCUGGAACUAGAUGAAUAGCUGCAUGUCAUCUGUGUAGCAGCUGAAGAAAAAUCCAUGUCUGUGGAUCGUAGAGUGUUGAUGUGGACAAUCAGAGGCAUAUUCAGACAGAUACUCUAGCACAGGGGAGCAAACUCAGUUCCCGGGAAGGCCAUAGCCCUGCAGAGUUUGGAUUUAACCCUAUAAUUAAACCAUUGAAUGAUCCAGCUAAUCAAGUCUUUCAGACUUACUGUAUUUGAAAUUUUAGAGUUUAGCUCCUCUAACCCUAAUCAAACACACUUGAACAAGUUAAUCAAGGUCCUUGGGAUUAUUAGAAAGUAACUGGCAGGCAAUUUUGAUCAAGCUGGAGCUAAACUGUGCAGUAAAGUGGACCUUGAGGGCCCAAGUUUGGAACCCCUGUCCUAGAAAGUAUUAUACUGUGAUAUGAACAGCCACAGAUAUACAGGACAGUCACCAAAUCUGAUAAGGCAAAAUCAUGCCUUGUCAUUGUUUUCAUAAUCACCUCUGUAAAAAUCUCACAUGGCAGUACUCACAUUUCUAUUCUUGAUAACCUACAGUACAUUCAUACAAUUUAAAUGAAAUUAAAAGAUUUUAGCAAAUACAAAUGUUAUCUUUCUUUUGAAAGACAAGGCAGUGGUCAAAAUAAUAAGAAGUGGCCUUACACUUUUCUCAAGCAUUCUGACAAGUUAGGACCUGAGCCGGUAUACACUGAAGAUCAGGGGCAGAUGAUGCGAUCCACUCUCACCUGACUUCAUUUCAGGACAGCACACCCACAGUGUGGGUGAAUCAAUCAAAUUCAUCAUGGAUGUACUUUCUCUAGAACUUUCUCUCAAUUCUUUUUCUGGUAGUCCAUGAUCUGUGCCCUGGCUUUUGUGGAAAAUAUGUCCAUCCUGGAGGCUGAGGAGAAAUUUCUGCAAGGACUUUUCAUUUACUUAAGUGAUCGGGAACAUUUUGAAAUGAGGACUGAACAACAGUUAAAAGAGAGUCAUCAAGAGGAAUCAACCUAGUUCAUGAUUUUUUUUAUGAAAUAAAAUGUAGUAAAUGGUGAUAAUAAAUAAUAUUGUUAUACACAAAAAGUUGUCUUUUCUUCUCAGAUAGCUGAAUGGCCCUUGGAAUCUUAGAAAAGGGUGAAUUGUAUUUUUCUUCUGUAAUUGUAUGACAACCAGUAGUGAAUAUUAAAGCAUAAAUAAAUAUGAAAAUUUUAAUUGAUGGUCCAAGUGAUUACAGGAACAACAGGGGCCUCAAACUGUCCAGGCCAUAGAUCUACCUACUGCAGGUCUGCAGCUUCUGUGAGUAUGUACGUUUGAUGAGCAACAAAAAAUUAAUAACAGCAAUUAUCAAUAAAAGCUGGGUAAUUUUGUCUCUAAAGUCCUUUCACUUUUUUCUUCUUUCAUUUGGAGCUAGAGAUAUGUUCACUACUCCUGGAGGGCCAGCUUCCCGCAAAGCUUAAUUCUGACCUUCUCCAAGACACUGGCCUGAAAGUUUUUAAUAGAGGUCCUCUAGACCUUGAUUCAUUUUAGAAGUGUUUAAUUAGAGUUGAAGCUAAACUCUGCAGGACAUUAACCUUCUAGGAACAGGAUUGGUCAACCCUGCUUUACCUGUGUCUUAUAUGCAGUGUGUCACAGCUGAUGGUUCUGUUUUGGUUUGUAAUUUCAGUGCAGGUUAGCAUGUUACUAUGCUGAUGCACACCACUAAAAACAGUCCACCUUUUAAAAAAAUGUGCUUUUCAUUUCCCUGUGCAUGUGCACCAUUCACAAAAAUCAUAAAAAUGUAAUUUGAAUUUCUCAGUGUGAAUUUAUUCCUCACAGCCAUCAUCUGUCCUUCACUGCGCAUGAUAUUUCGUUAGACCUACACUGCUUGCUUUUUGUACAUUAUCUGUCAUUGCUUGUGUGCUACAGGCUCUGUGUUAUUUGUCUUUGUGUUUUUGAGCAGUAGAGAAGUACUAACUAACGUACUAUAGUAUUCUGAAAAAAAAAAAAAAAAUUAGGAUAGAUGAUUGGCAAUUUUCAGUCUCUUGAUUCUCUCUGUUUCUAGAUUUGUGUUCUGUUUUAGUUUUUAGACAUGUUGCAUAAUUAAAACCGAUGUAAGAUCAGAUCUAUAAAUUUGUCACUAAACAUUCUCUAUUCCCUUACUCACUAUAUUGGAUAUAGAUCAUGAAAACCCAUUGCUCAUUUCUUUCUUCAGCUGAACUACUGUCCCCACCAGGUUUACAUUUUACAUUCUUUAUUCACAGCUUAUAAUAACUUAUAAAUAAGCACACCCACUUGCAUAUACAGUUGCAUGGAUAGUAAUCAUUUUAAAGUGAUAGUUAAUGUUUUUGUUUGUUCAGUUAAGAUUGGUAUAUUAAGAUUUGAGCUAGCAACUACAGUUAUUAAUAAUGGACAUAUUUUUCUCCAGAAAGCAUUGAGUGUCAGGCUGUGUGGGGUAUGAAGCAUCGACAUAUGGCAGCUCUCGCUCAGGUCAUGUUGUGUAAACUGUAGCAGCAGGGUAGCACUACAGCUAAGGGCUACAUCAUGUAUCAAAAUUGUUUUCUUGUGAUUUCAAAAUAAUUCUUGUUUUCUUAAGAUCUCGAUGUAACAAAAUAUUUUUUUAUGUGAUCUUGACAAAAAACUUGAAUUAAACUUGAAUUAAACCUGGUAAUGAUUAACCACUCA
Molecule: long non-coding RNA, 5250 nt
Organism: Carassius gibelio (silver crucian carp)
Lineage: Eukaryota; Metazoa; Chordata; Actinopteri; Cypriniformes; Cyprinidae
Exons: 2
Source: RefSeq, a predicted model, not a curated record